Cyprinus carpio (common carp) is the source of this 6233-nucleotide long non-coding RNA. RefSeq lists it as uncharacterized. The record is from RefSeq and is a predicted model, not a curated record. NCBI's taxonomy places the organism in Eukaryota, Metazoa, Chordata, Actinopteri, Cypriniformes, Cyprinidae. The transcript is spliced from 6 exons.
AUGGGUGAAAGGGGCGUGGUCAAGCGAGCUGUCUAGCACGUGCAGACAAUGCACUAUCAUCAAUACAAACCAAACAUCCGAACGCUUGAAAGUUUUGCGCUUUUGGAUUAUAAGGACAAAAAGGGAUCACGCCUCAAUGGACUUACAAGUGUUUUAGAUAAAACUCUUCAAGGAUAACUUCCUGACAUAGGUUCUUGUGUGGGAGCUGAGGCCUUUCCCAGACACAACAGAAACCAGAGGCUGUGGUUGAUUUCAUGACUUCCUCCUCAUUGUUUGCCUGUCUGUGUGACUGGAAACCGGCAGUGACAGACAGAUGACUCUGGUCGCUCUUAAACCGGGCUUGUGGAGAAACUGGACCUGGCUUCCCUUUUGAAGUAGUGACUAAUCAAGGCCGACGGCAGAGCGCCAUGCUUUUCCCACACUUCUGAGGCAGCGUAACCUGUCAUGCUGACCUUGUUGCUCAACUCUGCUUUCAGCUCGAUGUCCACAUUAUCCCAGCACACUGCUGCCAAGUUGCUGAAGUGGUUUACAUACAAUCCUGCACCCAGUGGUCAUUUUGGAGUUCAGCGGCAAAGAGCAUCAAGGAAGCAUUACCACAUCACUCACAGUUCAGCUCUCCGGCGUUGCCCUGACCUCCUGAACUCUGACUUCACCUGACCUCUCUUCAGACCUCUCGGUUUAACCAGCUCAGCGUCUCUCAGUAUCAGUGCGUCAUUCUGUGACAAGAGUUUGGAGCUAGAGGAGGACAACAAAGACUUGGGACAGGGCUGUAGACGGUUGGAAAUAUGCAAAGGGUCAGGUUUUGGCAGAUCUAGAGGGAGAGAGAGAGGGGAGCGAUCGAGGAGACGCAUCAGGAUACCAGCCUGCCUGGAGCUGCACCCAAACAUCAAGGGAGUCUGGGUAAUGACCUGAACUCUGCUGUACCUCCCUCUUCCACUUUCUUCUGCUCUGUUCCUUGUCACUCGGAUGUACCUGCCAGGAACAUUUCCUCAUUUGAGCAAAGACACAUGAGCAGACAUAAGCACGUGGCAGUUUAGGGAUAAUCCUACAUUUUCUGGUCAUAAUGACUGAGCAGUGAACCAUAUUUCCAAAUGAAAGUAUACUAUAAUCCUUUCUCCUCCACCCAAAAUAAUCAAAAAAGACUCUGGAUUUAGCAUUCCUUCAACUCUCUCUCUCCACUCUCACUAUCUUUCUUUUCCCUUCCACUUCCACUUCCCCUUUUCCAUGAUGAGAUGGAAACUUUAAGUGGAGUACACAUGCCCCAGCUCAUAACUGGCACAGGUGCAGAGAAACAUGCUCAGCGUAUGUGUGUAUUCACUUUACUGUAAGCGUGUGCGUGUGUACUGUAAUUGAAAUACCUCUGAGGGCCUCUGGUAUGCUUUCUAAUAGUGGCACAAUUAACAUGAAAGUGACUCUCAAAUUCCAGAACCAGCUAUCCAAUCUGUUCAAAAAUCUAAACCCUUUCCAGAGACAGAGGCCCUUAACAAACACAUGUUUUUCCAUCUCCCUUGCUCUCCCUUUUUUGUCUCCUCCAGUCUAGUUCAACAUGCCCAUCUAACUUGUGAAUGGCCUGUGAAUUGAAGAUCCAUUUUUGUCAUCGCACCUGUAUGGAACGUGUGAGUGUGUGUUUGUGGGUGCGUGUGAACGCUGUCUAAUGACCCUCACUCCACUGCACAGGCAGAGAUGAAACUGUGAUGCCAUUUGUUUUGAUGUCAUAAAUCGAUGGGAUUGAGUCUCCUAGGAGCUUCAGCUGUUCACUCAGCUUGACGGCAAAUUACAUCACACUCUCAUCACUCACCCGCAGAUUUGUGUUUUUCAGCCACAGCUCUUUCAAAGUGAUCUAGUCUCAGAAUAGGACUGAAAAUCUCCCACUGUAUCAAUCCAUAUCAGGUCCAAUGCAUCUCCCACUGUAUCAGUGUCUGACAAGAUCUGUGAGACGCACAAGCAGUUGGUGUGAGGAAUUUUUAGCUAGUGUUUGAAAUUGGGUACUAUGGCUUUUUAAUAUUAAUGUUUUGUGCAGCGUAUAUAUAAUUGUUAUAUGGACUUUUGAAACCAUGUUUUCUGCAAGCUUUUUUUGCUGGUGUAAUGAUCAACCAGUACACCAGCAUCCUAUUAUGAUUAACCAGUAUACCAACAUCUUGUGAUGAUUAACCAGUACACCAGCAUCCCAUAAUUGUCAACCAGUACAACAGCAUCCCGUAUUGGUCAGCCUGUACACCAGCAUACCGUGAUGGUCUAGCAGUACACCGGUAUUCCGUGAUGGUCAACCAGUACACCAGCAUCUCGUGAUUGUCAACCAGUACACUAGCAUCUUAUGAUGAUCAGCCAGUACAUCAGCAUCCCAUGAUGGCCAACCAUUACAUCAGCAUCCUAUGAUGAUUAACCAGUAUACCAACAUCCUGUGAUGAUUUACCAGUACACCAGCAUCCGGUAAUGGUCAAAAAAGUCAUCAGCAUCCCGUAAUGGUCAACCAGUACACCAGCAUCCCAUGAUAGUCAACCAGUACAUCAGCAUCCCGUGAUGAUCAACCAGUACAUCAGCAUCCCGUGAUGGUCAACCAGUACAUCAGCAUCCCGUGAUGGUCAACCAGUACAUCAGCAUCCCGUGAUGGUCAACCAGUACAUCAGCAUCCCGUGAUGGUCAACCAGUACAUCAGCAUCCCGUGAUGGUCAACCAGUACAUCAGCAUCCCGUGAUGGUCAACCAUUACACCAGCAUCCUGUGAUGGUCAACCAGUACACCAGCAUUCGUGAUGGUCAAUCAGUACACCAGUGUCAUGUGAUGAUCAACCAGUACACCAGCAUCCUGUGAUGGUCAGCCAUUACCCUUGUAUCUCAUGAUGGUCAACCAGUACAAUAGCAUCCUGUGAUGAUCAACCAGUACACCAGCAUUCGUGAUGGGCAACCAGUACACCAGCAUUCGGGAUGGUCAACCAUUACCCUAGUAUCCCAUGAUGGCCAACCAGUACAAUAGCAUCCUGUGAUGGUCAACCAGUACACUAGCAUUCGGGAUGGUCAACCAUUACCCUAGUAUCCCAUGAUGGUCAACCAGUACACUAACAUCCUGUGAUGAUCAGCCAGUACGUCAGCAUCCCGUGAUGGUCAAAUAUUACACCAGAAUCCCAUGAUGAUCAACCAGUAAACCAUCAUCUCAUGAUGAAUAAACCCUCUGUGGGUUAAAAGGCCUUGCCAAACCAGUCACCAGGGGAUCCAUUGCCUAAGACCUGCGGUAAAUACAUUCUCAACAAUCAGUAUUCAGAAUUGAUGGCCUGCAUAUCCUGUAGUGUUUUUUUUUUCAGCCCAGGGUUUGUUUGGAUCCCCAAGAGCGAUGCCAAUUUAUUCUGGGUUGUAAAAGAUUUAGACUUAGACAUUUCUGUAGUCUGGAAGUGUAUCCUCAUGGCCUGUACACCUAUGUGUUUGUUCUGUCUGUUUCCCACACACAAACCGCACUAACACACAGACAAGCACAAACACAGGGAAAAUUACCUUGAAAUGUGUCAGUCUGACUAAUAAUUAAGCAAGGCCUUUUAAAUGUUCAUUGACUAAAUCCAGAUAAGUUUAUACUUUUGUCUGCCCAGCUAUGUGUUGUCUAUCUUUUAGUUGACAUCUGUAGCAUGCCAUAGCCUUAAGAAAAACAAAUAAAUUAUAUUCAUAAUUUAUGUUCCCUGUAUUUUGCAAUUUUUAUUUUUGUUUUAUUUUACUUAUGAUUUUUGACCUUCAAAACCUGUUGUGUUCUAUUUGGUAACCAUCAAGGUCCUAUUAUUAUUCUUUGAAAAAAGUCUGGUUGGAUUAAGGUCCAUAUUGAGAUUGAGACCUACAGGGCAGAGACAGUUCUGUCCAGAGAUUUAGCUUUAGGAAUCCCAUUUCAUUGGGUCUGAAUGUUUUUGCCUAGUGGUUAAGAUAAGGACAGCUGACAGGAGCAAGCAUUUAUACAUGAACUUGAUUUGACUGUCCCCUAACAAAAGUUUGAUUUCAGUUCAAUGCCUUAAAAGUUCAUGCAUUAAUUUAUCAUAUUGCACAAUUUAGACUCUUACAGUUGCAUUAAUGCUAACUUUUUUCUAAUGGGUUAAAUAGUUAAGGGCCACACUAAACUUUGGGUAAACGUAUGUUUCACACUGUUCAUACUUGACCCUCGGUUAGUAAUUAAUCCUGGCUGUUCAAGCUUCACGAUUUCCACUGUACAUUUCUAAAUCCAGAGUUAACAGUCUUAUUUACAGAUUUAACAGGUCAAUAACAUUAACUGGAAAAACAAAUAUGGUUGUGCAACCUGUUUUAACUGUUUACCUAUCUGUGAAAAUGUCACUAUGCAAAGCUACUUUCUCUGUUUAAUGUCUCCUAAAGCAUACAAAAAAUAAAACUUCAAUUUGUGUUUACAGUCACAUCCAACAUUCAAACUAAGUUUAUAUGUCUGUACAACUCAUGAAUAUUUAAUUAGCUAAGCACUAUUUCGUUUGUGAUUGGUGGUUUGGUACUCUCGCUGUGACUUUCUAACACUGCAUAGAUUUACACUGUAUAUCUUUACCACCACAAAAUGGUGUUAGAGCUGCAAAAGUGUUGCUAGCAGUGCUCUGAAUCAGGUUUAUGUAACCCAGACUUCAAAAUUACAAGUGUGAAACUUGUAUAAAGGGGUAUAAAAAGACGCUAACCCCUGAUUUAAGUGCACUUGGAAAAGCCCUAAAGAGACUUGAAAAUUAAUGCUCAUCAGGAGAGGUCAAUAAUGGUCAACCUGUGGGAAUGGGAAGUAAUGCGAAUCAGCCAGCUAAUUUCCAACAACCACCUCAAUAACAGUAUUGAUUGCAAGUUACAGCUACAGGUUUAGAAUGACAGAUCUAAGCAAAGGACAGGAAGAUCAAAAAGAAAGAAAGAUGACCUCUGACUUGAGGAGAUUCCAUCUGUUCAGCAUAUUUUGGUUCAGUUUAAGGUCGGGAAGGUCAAAGUGAAGCAACUUCUGAAAAGAGAGAAAGGCAGAUAGCAAUGGAGAAGGUACGUUCCUUCCUUUAAUGACAGUAUUGCAAUUCAUUCCCACCCAGUGAAAGAGAGUGCAUUCCGCCUGUGCAAUUUGAUGUAACUCCACUCAGAGCUUAUUGCGGCACUGAAAGGAGAUAUUGUUUUCCUCUAGGCACCUGUGACCCAGCUCGCUUGACCGGCCGACAUGUGUGAGAAGUGCUAAGUCAAAAAAAAAAAAAAAAGUGGUCAGACCUGCAUCAUGCAGUUUGAUUCAAUCUGCUCAGCAGCAGAAACCCCUUCAUCCAGAUUUAUCAGCAAAGAGGACUGGAUGAACAGCAGUGGAGAGUGUUGCAGCAGAGCAGACUGCACUGUUAUGUUCUUAUUAGACAGCUCACUUUCAGUAUAGGUACCUUGGUAUGUCUCUGGAUGACCUUAUCUUUCAAAGUUUAAUAAUUGUGCAAAUGGCUGCUUGCCAGGAUUCUAUGAGAGAGAUCCAAUUCACUGGCCACACAACCUAGGUGGUCUAAGUUGCAUUGCCUGCACUCCAUGAGAGAUAACCACAAACACACAGACAUUGUACAGAAUAGUCUGAGUAUCAGAAAUGUCCCUGAGGGUUCUUUUUGUUUGGAAAGACGGAGAGAGAGAGAGGAAGAGGCAUGUGACCUGCUGUUGCUUGUUGUCCCCAAUGAAUAGUCAUUUAUCACACGGCAUGCUGUCUAGUGUGUAAGGAAUCUGUGUCCCUAAUUACAUUAAACUCACUUUGCCUCCAAGGGUGAAAAAGUUUGGAUGUGGCUAAAUAUGAUGCAUUACAGCGGGAUGCUAUUGAAAUUCUCAUCAAGUUCUCGCUUAUCAAAACUACUUCACCCUGUUGGCAGUUCGAGACGCCUCUGAAUUAGUUAAAACAUACUUAGUAUUGAUGCAUUAUGGCUAGGCUGAGAUGGAAUAUACAGCCUUUUUUCACAUUUCACAUGCUGAUUUGGGCAGAAAAUCUGCAGAAAAGCUUUCAAUGUUGUAAAUUGAAAGCAAUAAACUGUUAUUGAUAAGCUGAAUCAAAUUAGCAAAAAUAUUUAAUAAACACACAAUAUGGAGAAUAUUUAGAACUGUGCAAAUAACAAGUAUUGCAGUUAUGCUUUUUGGUUUGUUUUUGUUUUACAGAGAUCUGUGAGUGGAUCAAUGACAUGAUGUUCAUUUUGUCUGCUAAUCAAUCUGCAAUCUAUGAAUGCAUUCCAAAAUAUAUUAAAAUGCAAUUCAUAUACAGAAUGACUUGAAUCCUUGAAUAUACCCCGAG